RNAcentral lists this ribosomal RNA (253 nucleotides) under uncultured bacterium. RNAcentral describes it as "partial 16S ribosomal RNA". It matches the Rfam family "Bacterial small subunit ribosomal RNA", at positions 524 to 776 of the family's 1533-position model. The record is from RNAcentral.
UACAGAGGGUGCGAGCGUUAAUCGGAAUUACUGGGCGUAAAGCGCACGUAGGCGGCUUGGUAUGUCGGGUGUGAAAUCCCCGGGCUCAACCUGGGAACUGCAUCCGAAACUGCCUUGCUAGAGUAUGGGAGAGGGAAGUGGAAUUUCCAGUGUAGCGGUGAAAUGCGUAGAUAUCGGAAGGAACAUCAGUGGCGAAGGCGACUUCCUGGACCAAUACUGACGCUCAGGUGCGAAAGCGUGGGGAGCAAACAGG